RNAcentral lists this non-coding RNA (21 nucleotides) under Caenorhabditis elegans. Lineage: Eukaryota; Metazoa; Nematoda; Chromadorea; Rhabditida; Rhabditidae. The record is from RNAcentral.
UUAAACUGAAAUUUUCAAAAA